GACGUAGGGCGCAAGCGUUGUCCGGAUUUAUUGGGCGUAAAGAGCUCGUAGGCGGCUUGUUGCGUCGACCGUGAAAACCCGUGGCUCAACUGCGGGCUUGCGGUCGAUACGGGCGGGCUAGAGUUCGGUAGGGGAGACUGGAAUUCCUGGUGUAGCGGUGGAAUGCGCAGAUAUCAGGAGGAACACCAAUAGCGAAGGCAGCUCGCUGGGACGUUACUGACACUGAGGCGCGAAAGCGUGGGGAGCGAACAGG
RNAcentral lists this ribosomal RNA (253 nucleotides) under uncultured bacterium. RNAcentral's name for it is "partial 16S ribosomal RNA". It matches the Rfam family "Bacterial small subunit ribosomal RNA", at positions 524 to 776 of the family's 1533-position model. The record is from RNAcentral.